RNAcentral lists this ribosomal RNA (253 nucleotides) under uncultured bacterium. RNAcentral's name for it is "partial 16S ribosomal RNA". It matches the Rfam family "Bacterial small subunit ribosomal RNA", at positions 524 to 776 of the family's 1533-position model. The record is from RNAcentral.
UACGAAGGGGGCUAGCGUUGUUCGGAAUCACUGGGCGUCAAGGGCGCGUAGGCGGCCGAUCAAGUCGGGGGUGAAAGCCUGUGGCUCAACCACAGAAUUGCCUUCGAUACUGUUUGGCUUGAGACCGGAAGAGGUUAGUGGAACUGCGAGUGUAGAGGUGAAAUUCGUAGAUAUUCGCAAGAACACCAGUGGCGAAGGCGGCUGACUGGUCCGGUUCUGACGCUGAGGCGCGAAAGCGUGGGGAGCAAACAGG